RNAcentral lists this ribosomal RNA (206 nucleotides) under uncultured bacterium. Its description in RNAcentral is "partial 16S ribosomal RNA". It matches the Rfam family "Bacterial small subunit ribosomal RNA", at positions 568 to 774 of the family's 1533-position model. The record is from RNAcentral.
CACGUAGGCGGCUUUUUAAGUCAGAGGUGAAAUCCUGGAGCUCAACUCCAGAACUGCCUUUGAUACUGAGGAGCUUGAGUUCGGGAGAGGUGAGUGGAACUGCGAGUGUAGAGGUGAAAUUCGUAGAUAUUCGCAAGAACACCAGUGGCGAAGGCGGCUCACUGGCCCGAUACUGACGCUGAGGUGCGAAAGCGUGGGAGCAAACA